This 1528-nucleotide ribosomal RNA is filed under the name Klebsiella aerogenes. Its description in RNAcentral is "bacterial SSU rRNA". It matches the Rfam family "Bacterial small subunit ribosomal RNA". RNAcentral also lists the same sequence under 3 other names. Lineage: Bacteria; Pseudomonadati; Pseudomonadota; Gammaproteobacteria; Enterobacterales; Enterobacteriaceae. The record is from RNAcentral.
AGAGUUUGAUCAUGGCUCAGAUUGAACGCUGGCGGCAGGCCUAACACAUGCAAGUCGAGCGGUAACACAGAGAGCUUGCUCUCGGGUGACGAGCGGCGGACGGGUGAGUAAUGUCUGGGAAACUGCCUGAUGGAGGGGGAUAACUACUGGAAACGGUAGCUAAUACCGCAUAACGUCGCAAGACCAAAGUGGGGGACCUUCGGGCCUCAUGCCAUCAGAUGUGCCCAGAUGGGAUUAGCUAGUAGGUGGGGUAAUGGCUCACCUAGGCGACGAUCCCUAGCUGGUCUGAGAGGAUGACCAGCCACACUGGAACUGAGACACGGUCCAGACUCCUACGGGAGGCAGCAGUGGGGAAUAUUGCACAAUGGGCGCAAGCCUGAUGCAGCCAUGCCGCGUGUAUGAAGAAGGCCUUCGGGUUGUAAAGUACUUUCAGCGAGGAGGAAGGCAUUAAGGUUAAUAACCUUGGUGAUUGACGUUACUCGCAGAAGAAGCACCGGCUAACUCCGUGCCAGCAGCCGCGGUAAUACGGAGGGUGCAAGCGUUAAUCGGAAUUACUGGGCGUAAAGCGCACGCAGGCGGUCUGUCAAGUCGGAUGUGAAAUCCCCGGGCUCAACCUGGGAACUGCAUUCGAAACUGGCAGGCUAGAGUCUUGUAGAGGGGGGUAGAAUUCCAGGUGUAGCGGUGAAAUGCGUAGAGAUCUGGAGGAAUACCGGUGGCGAAGGCGGCCCCCUGGACAAAGACUGACGCUCAGGUGCGAAAGCGUGGGGAGCAAACAGGAUUAGAUACCCUGGUAGUCCACGCCGUAAACGAUGUCGACUUGGAGGUUGUGCCCUUGAGGCGUGGCUUCCGGAGCUAACGCGUUAAGUCGACCGCCUGGGGAGUACGGCCGCAAGGUUAAAACUCAAAUGAAUUGACGGGGGCCCGCACAAGCGGUGGAGCAUGUGGUUUAAUUCGAUGCAACGCGAAGAACCUUACCUACUCUUGACAUCCAGAGAACUUAGCAGAGAUGCUUUGGUGCCUUCGGGAACUCUGAGACAGGUGCUGCAUGGCUGUCGUCAGCUCGUGUUGUGAAAUGUUGGGUUAAGUCCCGCAACGAGCGCAACCCUUAUCCUUUGUUGCCAGCGAUUCGGUCGGGAACUCAAAGGAGACUGCCAGUGAUAAACUGGAGGAAGGUGGGGAUGACGUCAAGUCAUCAUGGCCCUUACGAGUAGGGCUACACACGUGCUACAAUGGCAUAUACAAAGAGAAGCGACCUCGCGAGAGCAAGCGGACCUCAUAAAGUAUGUCGUAGUCCGGAUUGGAGUCUGCAACUCGACUCCAUGAAGUCGGAAUCGCUAGUAAUCGUAGAUCAGAAUGCUACGGUGAAUACGUUCCCGGGCCUUGUACACACCGCCCGUCACACCAUGGGAGUGGGUUGCAAAAGAAGUAGGUAGCUUAACCUUCGGGAGGGCGCUUACCACUUUGUGAUUCAUGACUGGGGUGAAGUCGUAACAAGGUAACCGUAGGGGAACCUGCGGUUGGAUCACCU